RNAcentral lists this ribosomal RNA (195 nucleotides) under uncultured Spirochaetales bacterium. RNAcentral's name for it is "partial 16S rRNA". It matches the Rfam family "Bacterial small subunit ribosomal RNA", at positions 338 to 525 of the family's 1533-position model. Lineage: Bacteria; Pseudomonadati; Spirochaetota; Spirochaetia; Spirochaetales. The record is from RNAcentral.
CCUACGGGAGGCAGCAGCCAAGAAUAUUCCGCAAUGGGGGGAACCCUGACGGAGCGACACUGCGUGAAUGAUGAAGGCCUUCGGGCUGUAAAGUUCUUUUAUAAGGGAAGAAUAAGUUAGAGAGGAAAUGCUUUAAUGAUGACGGUACCUUAUGAAUAAGUCCCGGCUAAUUACGUGCCAGCAGCCGCGGUAAUA